RNAcentral lists this long non-coding RNA (875 nucleotides) under Ananas comosus (pineapple). Its description in RNAcentral is "long non-coding RNA (ACOM_LNC018906)". The record is from RNAcentral. Lineage: Eukaryota; Viridiplantae; Streptophyta; Magnoliopsida; Poales; Bromeliaceae.
AUAUAUAUUAUAUAUAUAGUAGAACUAUUAUGCUAUCGGAUGUAUAGAGUAUCUAGUGCUUUCGAUUUUUUGGCCCUUAGAUCAGUCCCUUUAAUCAUUUCUAAUCUUUAGAUUAAUACUAUUAUCCUGUGAGGGCCACUCAAUCCUAGAGGUACUAUUCAAUUCUAGAAGAAACCGCAAUCAUUCCAACCAUACAAUUCUUGAUUAAAGAGUCAAAAAAUCGUAAGCAUCAAAUUAUAUAUAUAAUAUAUAUAGGGAGAAAGAGAGAGUAGGGCUAUUAUACUCUUAUGAGUAUAGAACUCUUCGUACUCAUAAGUUGUUUUUAUGAUGGAGCUUCUAAAUCAACGAUUCACACCGUCAAAUAUGAUAUCGAGUAUUUAAAACUUUUAGAAAAUAAAUUCCAUAAUUUUUUGAAAUCAUAAAAAAAUCUAUCAAGUGGGUAUAAAAUGAACGGUCAAAAUUAAACAAUGCCUUAAAAAUGAAUGAUCGGAAACUUCAAUUUAUGAUCGGAGUUAUUGACCUUUAUCUAGAUAGUGAAUAGAAUUUUCUAUCAAAAAUUCAACCGAUUUGAUUCUUUUACACUGUUAAACUAGCAAGUAUCCUCUACUGGCCGUUAAAAAUUAUCAAUUUUAAGAUUUUUUGAUCGUAAGGUAAAUGAUAUCAAAAAAUUAUGAAAUUUAAUUUUUAAAAAUUUUAAAUACUCAAGAUAAUUUUUAACGAUAUGGAUUAUCGAUUCGGAAGCUCUAUUACCGAAAACAACUUAUGAAUACGAAGGUGAUCAUACACAUACUCAUAAAAGAAUAGUGGUCGGACUCUCUCUCUCUCUCUAUAUAUAUAUAUAUAUAUAUAUAUAAAAUCUUUUAUUUUUAUGUUUC